RNAcentral lists this ribosomal RNA (424 nucleotides) under uncultured prokaryote. Its description in RNAcentral is "bacterial SSU rRNA". It matches the Rfam family "Bacterial small subunit ribosomal RNA", at positions 355 to 796 of the family's 1533-position model. The record is from RNAcentral.
UGGGGAAUAUUGGACAAUGGGGGCAACCCUGAUCCAGCCAUGCCGCGUGAAUGAAGAAGGCCUUAGGGUUGUAAAGUUCUUUCAACGGUGACGAUGAUGACGGUAGCCGUAGAAGAAGCCCCGGCUAACUCCGUGCCAGCAGCCGCGGUAAUACGGAGGGGGCAAGCGUUGUUCGGAAUUACUGGGCGUAAAGGGCGCGCAGGCGGCGUUGUUAGUCAGAUGUGAAAUCCCCGGGCUCAACCUGGGAACUGCAUUUGAUACUGCGAUGCUAGAGUUCGGGAGAGGGUAGUGGAAUUCCCAGUGUAGAGGUGAAAUUCGUAGAUAUUGGGAAGAACACCAGUGGCGAAGGCGGCUACCUGGACCGAUACUGACGCUGAGGCGCGAAAGCGUGGGGAGCAAACAGGAUUAGAUACCCCCGUAGUCC